Molecule: long non-coding RNA, 196 nt
Organism: Daphnia pulicaria
Lineage: Eukaryota; Metazoa; Arthropoda; Branchiopoda; Diplostraca; Daphniidae
Exons: 3
Source: RefSeq, a predicted model, not a curated record
AAGAGUGUGUAAAAGAAUUUGAAGAUGCUCUUGAGACCAACAAAGGUGGGGAGAUUGACGUCUUCCCUAUAAUGUCACGAUGCACUCUCGAUAUUAUAUGUGCUACAUUUAUGGGAAGAAAAACAUUGAAAAACGAAGAAAAGUCACUUUUUCUUGACAACCUUGCCGAAUUUGAAAGAAUUUUCCAACAACGCAU